CUCCUACGGGAGGCAGCAGUGGGGAAUAUUGCACAAUGGGCGAAAGCCUGAUGCAGCCAUGCCGCGUGUAUGAAGAAGGCCUUCGGGUUGUAAAGUACUUUCAGUUGUGAGGAAGGGUGUGUAGUUAUUAGCUGCAUAUCUUGACGUUAGCAACAGAAGAAGCACCGGCUAACUCCGUGCCAGCAGCCGCGGUAAUA
RNAcentral lists this ribosomal RNA (197 nucleotides) under uncultured bacterium. Its description in RNAcentral is "partial 16S ribosomal RNA". It matches the Rfam family "Bacterial small subunit ribosomal RNA", at positions 336 to 525 of the family's 1533-position model. The record is from RNAcentral.